AUACUUACCUGGCAGGGGAGAUACCAUGAUCAGGCACGUGAUUUUCCCAGGGCGAGGCUCUUCCAUUGCACUGCAGGAGUGCUGAUCCCUGCAAUUUCCCCAAAUGUGGGAAACUUGACUGCAUAAUUUGUGGUAGUAGGGGAACUGUGUUCGCGCUCUCCCCUG
Molecule: small nuclear RNA, 165 nt
Organism: Oryctolagus cuniculus (rabbit)
Lineage: Eukaryota; Metazoa; Chordata; Mammalia; Lagomorpha; Leporidae
Gene: U1
Rfam family: U1 spliceosomal RNA
About the family: U1 is a small nuclear RNA (snRNA) component of the spliceosome (involved in pre-mRNA splicing). Its 5' end forms complementary base pairs with the 5' splice junction, thus defining the 5' donor site of an intron.
Source: Ensembl